CUUCACUUGAAUAUGGCAUGAAAAUUGAUCAAAUUGCAAAAUUCAUACCAUUGGUAUUAUGCAAACAAUAUAGAGUGUAAUAAAAGGAAAAUAAGAAAAUACAAAUUCUGACAGUGAAUUUAGUAAAAAGUCAAGAAAAAGUAAGGCAGAUGUUAGGAAACCAUAGCAAAAUAAAAGAAGCUUAAGAAGGCAACGGUAACCAUAA
Molecule: unclassified non-coding RNA, 205 nt
Filed under: Bombus terrestris (buff-tailed bumblebee)
Lineage: Eukaryota; Metazoa; Arthropoda; Insecta; Hymenoptera; Apidae
Description: misc RNA ENSBTSG00005032397.1
Source: RNAcentral